CCAAGUACUUUUUUGAUUUUGUUGUUGCAUUUCUGUUUCAAUUUACAUCGUUAACCAUGUAUUUAAAACUGCGACUAUAAUCUGGGAGAAAAUAUGUUUCCUUCAAAAUGUAAUUGAGAAUGCAGUUUAGUUGU
Long non-coding RNA from Sebastes umbrosus (honeycomb rockfish), 134 nucleotides. RefSeq lists it as uncharacterized. NCBI's taxonomy places the organism in Eukaryota, Metazoa, Chordata, Actinopteri, Perciformes, Sebastidae. The record is from RefSeq and is a predicted model, not a curated record. The transcript is spliced from 3 exons.